ACUACACCUUUAUCUUCAGUGAAUUUGUAAUCUCCCCGGAGUCCCAAGUCAAGCAAACAAGAAAACAUUGAUAACCGCAAAAGAAGCUGUUUCUCACAUCAAAUACUGGUAAGCGAAUGGUUUAUUGGAAGAAAAUAUACCAACACUCCUAGUCAAGAACAUUUGUUAUUGUUGUUCUAAAUGGAAAUUUACUACAGAAGCAAUAUUUUUUCCUUGAAAUGAACAUAUAUUGCAGAAAUAGAG
This 243-nucleotide long non-coding RNA is filed under the name Mustela putorius furo (domestic ferret). RNAcentral describes it as "lncRNA (ENSMPUG00000031090.1)". Lineage: Eukaryota; Metazoa; Chordata; Mammalia; Carnivora; Mustelidae. The record is from RNAcentral.